RNAcentral lists this ribosomal RNA (587 nucleotides) under uncultured bacterium. Its description in RNAcentral is "partial 16S ribosomal RNA". It matches the Rfam family "Bacterial small subunit ribosomal RNA", at positions 355 to 1375 of the family's 1533-position model. The record is from RNAcentral.
UGGGGAAUAUUGCACAAUGGGCGCAAGCCUGAUGCAGCCAUGCCGCGUGUGUGAAGAAGGCCUUCGGGCUGUAAAGCACUUUCAGCGAGGAGGAAGGUGGUGAGCUUAAUACGCUCAUCAAUUGACGUUACUCGCAGAAGAAGCACCGGCUAACUCCGUGCCAGCAGCCGCGGUAAUACGGAGGGUGCAAGCGUUAAUCGGAAUUACUGGGCGUAAAGCGCACGCAGGCGGUUUGUUAAGUCAGAUGUGAAAUCCCCGGGCUCAACCUGGGAACUGCAUUUGAAACUGGCAAGCUAGAGUCUCGUAGAGGGGGGUAGAAUUCCAGGUGUAGCGGUGAAAUGCGUAGAGAUCUGGGGAAUACCGGUGGCGAAGGCGGCCCCCUGGACGAAGACUGACGCUCAGGUGCGAAAGCGUGGGGCAGCAAACAGGAUUAGAUACCCUGGUAGUCCACGCUGUAAACGAUGUCGAUUUUGGAGGUUGUGCCCUUGAGGCGUGGCUUCCGGAGCUAACGCGUUAAAUCGACCGCCUGGGGAGUACGGCCGCAAGGUUAAAACUCAAAGGAAUUGACGGGGUCAUAGCUGUUUCCU